RNAcentral lists this ribosomal RNA (432 nucleotides) under uncultured bacterium. RNAcentral's name for it is "partial 16S ribosomal RNA". It matches the Rfam family "Bacterial small subunit ribosomal RNA", at positions 29 to 507 of the family's 1533-position model. The record is from RNAcentral.
ACGAACGCUGGCGGCAUGCCUCACACAUGUAAGUCGAACGAGACCUUCGGGUCUAGUGGCGCCCGGGUGCGUAACGCGUGGGAACCUGCCCUUAGGUUCGGAAUAACUCCCCGAAAGGGGUGCUAAUACCGGAUAAUGUCUUCGGACCAAAGAUUUAUCGCCUUUGGAUGGGCCCGCGUUGGAUUAGCUAGUUGGUAGGGUAAAAGCCUACCAAGGCGACGAUCCAUAGCUGGUCUGAGAGGAUGAUCAGCCACACUGGGACUGAGACACGGCCCAGACUCCUACGGGAGGCAGCAGUGGGGAAUAUUGGACAAUGGGCGAAAGCCUGAUCCAGCAAUGCCGCGUGAGUGAUGAAGGCCUUAGGGUUGUAAAGCUCUUUUACCCGGGAUGAUAAUGACAGUACCGGGAGAAUAAGCGCCGGCUAACUCCGUG